GGGGGCGUUACGGAUUCGACAGGUAUAGUUUGAGCUUCGACUGCGCUUCGUAGGUUACGUCUACGUUAAAACGUUACAGUUAAAUAUAACUGCUAAAAACGAAAAUAAUACUUUCGCUUUAGCUGCCUAAAAACAGCGAGUGAAGAUCCUCUUGGCAUCGCCCAUGUGCUCAAGUAAGGGUCUCAAAUUCAGUGGGAUACGUUAAACUUUUCCGUCUGUAAAGUUUAAAAGAGAUCAUCAGACUAGCAAUGCUCGAGGCCGGUUGUAUGGCAUAAGGCUGCGCGAAAUUUAAAUGAUACAACUAUGAGCGUAGAUGUUUAAGUGGCAAUAUAUUUGGACGCGGGUUCGACUCCCGCCGCCUCCAUCA
RNAcentral lists this transfer-messenger RNA (367 nucleotides) under Vagococcus penaei. RNAcentral describes it as "Standard tmRNA". It matches the Rfam family "transfer-messenger RNA". From Rfam's summary of the family: Bacterial tmRNA, also known as 10Sa RNA or SsrA, is named for its dual tRNA and mRNA-like properties. Its role is to liberate the mRNA from a stalled ribosome. The record is from Rfam by way of RNAcentral. Lineage: Bacteria; Bacillati; Bacillota; Bacilli; Lactobacillales; Enterococcaceae.